Molecule: non-coding RNA, 26 nt
Filed under: Mus musculus (house mouse)
Lineage: Eukaryota; Metazoa; Chordata; Mammalia; Rodentia; Muridae
Source: RNAcentral
UAGCGUCUAGUCAGAGAAUUAACACA